This 270-nucleotide ribosomal RNA is filed under the name Triticum aestivum (bread wheat). RNAcentral's name for it is "partial small subunit ribosomal RNA". Lineage: Eukaryota; Viridiplantae; Streptophyta; Magnoliopsida; Poales; Poaceae. The record is from RNAcentral.
AUGAGUCGCCAUCGAAGCUUGGCCCGGCAAUUUUGCGAAGAUUCCUCCUCCGAAGAUGAGGAACUCGUGAUGGUAGCAGAGGAAGAACAAGCCCGGGUGGAUGCUCCACGACAUGGAGGUUCACAACCGGGACGUCAAUCUCUUCAGCACGAUUUUGCGGAACGCUUUCAAAGCCUCCACAAGAACUAUUUUGCACAAUAUUGUACCUUCAAGGCAAGGAUGUUUCGCAAUAGGUAUGAAACUGGUGCAUCUGUUUCAUUUUCACCAUAG